This 468-nucleotide ribosomal RNA is filed under the name uncultured bacterium. RNAcentral describes it as "partial 16S ribosomal RNA". It matches the Rfam family "Bacterial small subunit ribosomal RNA", at positions 28 to 507 of the family's 1533-position model. The record is from RNAcentral.
GACGAACGCUGGCGGCGUGCUUAACACAUGCAAGUCGAACGGAAAGGCCCUGCUUUUGUGGUCUGCUCGAUUGGCGAACGCGUGAGUAACACGUGAGUAACCUGCCCUUGACUUUGGGAUAACUUCAGGAAACUGGGGUUAAUACCGUAUAGGAUCUCCUGCUGCAUUGUGGGGGUUGGAAAGUUUCGGCGGUUGGGGAUGGACUCGCGGCUUAUCAGCUUGUUGGUGGGGUAGUUGCUUACCAAGGCUUUGACGGGUAGCCGGCCUGAGAGGGUGACCGGCGACAUUGGGACUGAGAUACGGCCCAGACUGGUACGGGAGGCAGCAGUGGGGAAUAUUGCACAAUCGGAGGAAGCCUGAUGAAGAAACGCCGCGUGCGGGAUGACGGCCUUCGGGGUGUAAAAAGCAUUCGCCUGUGACGAAGCGUGAGUGACGGUAAUGGGUAAAGAAGCACCGGCUAACUACGUG